ACGGCCCAGACUCCUACGGGAGGCAGCAGUGGGGAAUUUUCCGCAAUGGGCGCAAGCCUGACGGAGCAACGCCGCGUGAGGGACGAAGGCCUCUGUGCUGUAAACCUCUUUUCUCAAGGAAGAAGACAUGACGGUACUUGAGGAAUAAGCCACGGCUAAUUCCGUGCCAGCAGCCGCGGUAAUACGGGAGUGGCAAGCGUUAUCCGGAAUUAUUGGGCGUAGAGCGUCCGCAGGCGGCCUUGAAAGUCUGUUGUUAAAGCGUGGAGCUCAACUCCAUUUCAGCAAUGGAAACUACAAGGCUAGAGUGUGGUAGGGGCAGAGGGAAUUCCCGGUGUAGCGGUGAAAUGCGUAGAUAUCGGGAAGAACACCAGUGGCGAAGGCGCUCUGCUGGGCCAUAACUGACGCUCAUGGACGAAAGCCAGGGGAGCGAAAGGGAUUAGAUACCCCUGUAGUCCUGGCCGUAAACGAUGAACACUAGGUGUCGGGAGAAUUAACCCUUUCGGUGUCGUAGCCAACGCGUUAAGUGUUCCGCCUGGGGAGUACGCACGCAAGUGUGAAACUCAAAGGAAUUGACGGGGGCCCGCACAAGCGGUGGAGUAUGUGGUUUAAUUCGAUGCAACGCGAAGAACCUUACCAGGGUUUGACAUCCUGCGAAUCCCUUGGAAACUUGGGAGUGCCUUCGGGAGCGCAGUGACAGGUGGUGCAUGGCUGUCGUCAGCUCGUGUCGUGAGAUGUUGGGUUAAGUCCCGCAACGAGCGCAACCCACGUCUUUAGUUGCCAGCAUUCAGUUGGGCACUCUAGAGAGACCGCCGGUGAUAAACCGGAGGAAGGUGUGGAUGACGUCAAGUCAUCAUGCCCCUUACAUCCUAGGCUACACACGUACUACAAUGCUACGGACAAAGGGCAGCAAACUCGCGAGAGCUAGCAAAUCCCAUAAACCGUGGCUCAGUUCAGAUCGUAGGCUGCAACUCGCCUACGUGAAGGAGGAAUCGCUAGUAAUCGCAGGUCAGCAUACUGCGGUGAAUACGUUCCCGGGCCUUGUACACACCGCCCGUCACACCAUGGAAGUUGGCCAUGCCCGAAGUCGUUACUCCAACCCGCAAGGGAGGAGGACGCCGAAGGUGGGGCUGAUGACUGGGGUGAAGUCGUAACAAGGUAGCCGUACUAGUACGAAUUGCAG
This 1180-nucleotide ribosomal RNA is filed under the name metagenome. RNAcentral describes it as "bacterial SSU rRNA". It matches the Rfam family "Bacterial small subunit ribosomal RNA", at positions 326 to 1521 of the family's 1533-position model. The record is from RNAcentral.